GACACAUUUUGACCAUAAAAACACUAACAAAAGUGUUUACUGCUUCUAAGCAAUGUUUUGUUGGUUUUAGCCUCUUUUGGGAGAAAAUAGGUAUUAAGUAUUGUCUAAAAACUCCUAAUCCAUUUCUAACUCUUAUAAUUAGUCACAUGCAUUGGAUUCUUACACAUUUUUACCAUAAAAACACUAACAAAACUGUUUAGAACUUCUAAGCAAUUUUUUAUUGGUUUUACCCUCUUUUGGGAGAAAAUGGGUAUAAGUGUUGUCCAAACACUCCUAAUCUAUCUUUAUCUCUUAUAAUAAAUCAAAUGCAUUGGAUUGUGACACAUUUAGAUCAUAGAAAACACUAACAAAGCUAUU
Molecule: small RNA, 357 nt
Filed under: Arabidopsis thaliana (thale cress)
Lineage: Eukaryota; Viridiplantae; Streptophyta; Magnoliopsida; Brassicales; Brassicaceae
Description: ATSL035360
Source: RNAcentral